UACGUAGGGGGCAAGCGUUGUCCGGAAUCAUUGGGCGUAAAGAGCUCGUAGGCGGUCUGUCGCGUCGAAUGUGAAAACCCGGGGCUCAACUCCGGGCUUGCAUUCGAUACGGGCAGGCUAGAGUUCGGUAGGGGAGUCUGGAAUUCCUGGUGUAGCGGUGAAAUGCGCAGAUAUCAGGAGGAACACCAAUGGCGAAGGCAGCUCGCUGGGACGGUACUGACGCUGAGACGCGAAAGCGUGGGGAGCAAACAGG
Molecule: ribosomal RNA, 253 nt
Filed under: uncultured bacterium
Lineage: Bacteria
Description: partial 16S ribosomal RNA
Rfam family: Bacterial small subunit ribosomal RNA
Source: RNAcentral